Long non-coding RNA from Exaiptasia diaphana, 1220 nucleotides. RefSeq lists it as uncharacterized. The record is from RefSeq and is a predicted model, not a curated record. The transcript is spliced from 4 exons. NCBI's taxonomy places the organism in Eukaryota, Metazoa, Cnidaria, Anthozoa, Actiniaria, Aiptasiidae.
GAUGCUUCCAUUUCCUCUGCAACACACAUUUGGUUAAUAAUAGUGACAAAGCAUAAUCAACAGGGCUGUAAUUGGYUGACUAAAACUGGGUACAUGUCUAAAAGUUCUCCUGCUCCUCAACACAACGUUUAUCCCACGUUUUUUAAAAGAUAUUUCAUAACUUAUAUUUCUUUUUUUUUCACUUUUUCAUUUGUUGAGAAAAAAAUGUGGCAAUAACAGUUUGUCGUAGUUAGCGGACUCCCUGUGUAAAUACGCAUCAAAAACAAAAUGGCCGAAAAUUCAAGAUGGUGGAUCAUAUCGAAAAUUUAAUAAAAAUAAGGUUAAAGUGAAUUUCUUGAUGGUUGGUCGGUGGCACGAGGAUAUUGUUAUAUAAGACCAGUUAUUCAAUCGGAUGAUGCGAUCAUAUCACAGGCAGAAUUACCUCAUCUAGUUUUGCCCAACAGGAUACACAUGCCUAAGUUCUUCGCAGGGUCUCGUGUGUUCACUCCACAGAUUAAGGAGGAGUACUAGCCUGGUCUGUUGGAUGAGAGCAACGUCCUAUGGCCAAGUCCAAGUUCAAUAUUCUCAAAGAGUGUGCAAUAUGCUUUGGAUGUGCAUUGGAAGAUGAUAAACUCAGCAAGGAUACCGCAAAGCAUCUCCGAAAUAAUUAAGUAGCACCCCGCGAAGGUAAGCAGUAACCGUUUACGAUGAGAUGUCCUCAGCAAUUACCGAAGACAUUUUGCAGUUGUUCAAUUUCGUGACUAAGAAGCGAAACUUUACCGUGUACAACGAGAUGUCCUCAGCAAUUUCCGAAGACAUUUUACAGUUCAAUGUCGUGGUAACAAGUGAAACUUUACCGUGUACGACGAGAUGUCCUCAGCAAUUACCGAAGACAUUUUACAGUUCAAUGUCGUGAUAACAAGUGAAACUUUACCGUGUACCAAGCAAAUGUUUACAGCAAUUAACGAAGACAUUUUGACUUGAAGUUACCAGAAUGAAAAGUGAAUUUUUACCAUACUUUAAGAGAUGUCCUCAGCAAAUACUGGGCACAUUUCACGAAAUUAUUCUUAUAAAGAAAUUUUCAAUAACCUUUAGUUAUUUAUGAACGAUUUUAUAAAUAGAGUAGAGUGUAGUAGACAUUCAUAGAAAUGUUGCUGCUCUUGAGUGGCACAGAUUAUAACAUGAUAUGUAAAAAUGAUACAGUUUUUCAAUCCCGUCAAAGAUAGUAUUAAAUCGUCAAA